Molecule: ribosomal RNA, 548 nt
Filed under: uncultured bacterium
Lineage: Bacteria
Description: bacterial SSU rRNA
Rfam family: Bacterial small subunit ribosomal RNA
Source: RNAcentral
UCCUUCGGGGGGGGGGACAGUGGGGAAUAUUGCACAAUGGGCGCAAGUCUGAUGCAGCCAUGCCGCGUGUGUGAAGAAGGCCUUCGGGUUGUAAAGCACUUUCAGUGGAGAGGAAGGGUAAGUAGUUAAUACCUGCUUUCUUUGACGUUACCCACAGAAGAAGCACCGGCUAACUCUGUGCCAGCAGCCGCGGUAAUACGGAGGGUGCAAGCGUUAUUCGGAAUUACUGGGCGUAAAGCGCGCGUAGGCGGAUGAUUAAGUCAGAUGUGAAAGCCCUGGGCUCAACCUAGGAACUGCAUUUGAUACUGGUCAUCUAGAGUUUAAGAGAGGGAAGUGGAAUUUCAGGUGUAGCAGUGAAAUGCGUAGAUAUCUGGAGGAACAUCAGUGGCGAAGGCGACUUCCUGGUUUAAAACUGACGCUGAGGUGCGAAAGCGUGGGUAGCGAACGGGAUUAGAUACCCCGGUAGUCCACGCCGUAAACGAUGUCAACUAGUUGUUGGUCUUAUUAAAAAGAUUAGUAACGAAGCUAACGCGAUAAGUGACCGCCUG